Molecule: transfer RNA, 67 nt
Filed under: Marmota monax (woodchuck)
Lineage: Eukaryota; Metazoa; Chordata; Mammalia; Rodentia; Sciuridae
Description: tRNA.Ser
Source: RNAcentral
GGUUGUGGCUCAGUGGUAGAGCAUUUGCCUAGAACAUGUGAGGCCCUGGGUUCAAUUCUCAGCACCG